AGUAGUCAUAUGCUUGUCUCAAAGAUUAAGCCAUGCAUGUCUCAGUACAAGCCAAAUUAAGGUGAAACCGCGAAAGGCUCAUUAAAUCAGUUAUGGUUCCUUAGAUCGUACCCACAUUUACUUGGAUAACUGUGGUAAUUCUAGAGCUAAUACAUGCAAACAGAGCUCCGACCGGAGACGGAAGGAGCGCUUUUAUUAGAUCAAAACCAAUCGGCGGCGGGUUCGCCCGUUCGUCGUACAACUUGGUGAAUCUGAAUAACUUUCUGCUGAUCGCAUGGUCUCGCACCGGCGACGCAUCUUUCAAAUGUCUGCCUUAUCAACUGUCGAUGGUAGGUUCUGCGCCUACCAUGGUUGUAACGGGUAACGGGGAAUCAGGGUUCGAUUCCGGAGAGGGAGCCUGAGAAACGGCUACCACAUCCAAGGAAGGCAGCAGGCGCGCAAAUUACCCACUCCCGGCACGGGGAGGUAGUGACGAAAAAUAACGAUACGGGACUCAUCCGAGGCCCCGUAAUCGGAAUGAGUACACUCUAAACCCUUUAACGAGGAUCAUUUGGAGGGCAAGUCUGGUGCCAGCAGCCGCGGUAAUUCCAGCUCCAAUAGC
RNAcentral lists this ribosomal RNA (601 nucleotides) under Macrelmis leonilae. Its description in RNAcentral is "SSU rRNA". It matches the Rfam family "Eukaryotic small subunit ribosomal RNA", at positions 19 to 598 of the family's 1831-position model. Lineage: Eukaryota; Metazoa; Arthropoda; Insecta; Coleoptera; Elmidae. The record is from RNAcentral.